Molecule: long non-coding RNA, 1495 nt
Filed under: Salvia miltiorrhiza (redroot sage)
Lineage: Eukaryota; Viridiplantae; Streptophyta; Magnoliopsida; Lamiales; Lamiaceae
Description: long non-coding RNA (SMIL_LNC005835)
Source: RNAcentral
CGUCUCAUGAGGGUGGAUAAAUAAUUAAUCCGCUCAUCUUAGAGUAUUCUAACUCACUUACUAAUUAAUAGCCUCAUUCUAAAUUAAUCAAUAAUUAGAAUUAGCUCAAUUAAAUUAAUAGAUUAAUCUAGACUACCCUUAAAUUGGGUCUGAUUUUAAGCCAAAAUAAUAAUGGCAGUCCAAAUAAAAUUAACUCUAGCCCAAACUAAUUAAAUACAGCCCAUUAUCAAUUUAGAUCUGCAGCCCACAUAAUUAAAAUGAAGGCCCAAUUUUCGGCCCAAAGGGAAAAAAAAUUGAUGGCCCAACACAACUCAAGCCCAACACAUUAACCCUUCUUCCUCAUUUAGCACAGCCGCUUCAUCUCUCUCUCUCUCUCUCUCAAAAUUCGCCCCUCUCUCUCUCUGCCAUAAGUUCCGCCGCCGCGGCUUCGUCUCCGGCGAAGGGCCACCGGCCUCAUCUCCCUCCGACCUAACCAAAUCGCGCCGCCACGAUUCCUCUCUGGAACUCCGGUGAGUCAGCAGCGAGAAGCCACUGCCGCCGCUUCAUCCCCAUUUUUCGGCGACUCAGGGCAGCAACGACGAGGCCGCCGCCGCCUGAAGCCCCAGGUCCUCAGAUCUCUCUCUUCAGUCGCAACCACCGCUACACCUACUCUCUAUUUUUCCAAGGUCAGACGGCAGUAGUGACGCCACCGUCGACCGACACGCCUGGAAGCUCUAUCGCCGGGCGUCGCCGCUGCUGAGGUAACGCCGCCGCCCGGAGUUGCAGCUGCUUUGCCCGAAAUCGAGGUCGCUGGUCUGAUCUCCAGCAGCCCGCCUCGCUCAGAGCCACCGCCGCCGUCGUCAACUGGAGUCUCGGCGGCCGCGGUCUCUCUUGGAUCCGCCGGCGUCGUUGUUGUUCCAGAGUUGACGAGGGACGACAGAUAGCUUCUGCCGACAGCGGCCAGCUCGUUGGAGCUGCCCUUCCCCGGAGUCCGACUCGUUCUCCUCCUUUCUUAAAGCUAAGUUCAACCUCUCUACCUCCCCCUUUUUUUAAUGCUAAGUUAGACUAGUGCAGGGAGUUCUCAUAGAAUCACCACACACACAGAUCAUAGUGAAGUAUCUAAGCAUAUUGUUUUUCUCGAGCAAGUAAACUGCCCGUUAGUAAUAUUCUACCUUUUUAAAGCAUUCCAUGAUUUGUUCUAUCCUGAUGUAAAGUAUAAUGUUGCUAUGGUUAUACAUAUUAUGCCCAUUUGAUACAGUGGUGAAAUGUGAUUAUGCCUCUGAUAUGAAUGCGAACUGAAUGGUUAUUUGAGAUAGUAAAAUACCCCGCUUGUGUUCAACUGAUUGGUUGUUGCUGGAGUUGAGUGAAGUGUGAAAUAACUGAAAUGAACGAUGGUUCACCUUUAAUGCAGGUGAACUAAUCAAAGAGAAUGAAGUUAUUGAAGCCAAGUCUUACCUUGAGAACUUGGCUGAACGAACUGGAGGCUUCUAUGCCCUUUGGAGAGAGUUCUUGGUGG